RNAcentral lists this long non-coding RNA (2279 nucleotides) under Citrus sinensis (sweet orange). RNAcentral's name for it is "long non-coding RNA (CSIN_LNC002455)". The record is from RNAcentral. Lineage: Eukaryota; Viridiplantae; Streptophyta; Magnoliopsida; Sapindales; Rutaceae.
UAUUCAAAUAUCUUAGACCAAUUAUUAUUAAAAGAAAAUAUCUCCAGUUUCUCACAUCUCACAUAGAACAAUCUCUUCUUGUGGUAGAACAAAUCGCUAUCGACUCAAACCUUGCUGCUGAGACCACCACAGCCUGUAUGUCGAUUUCUAGGGAGCCAUGUUAUGCUAAGAAAAAUUGAGGAGGUUUGAGAUCUCAUUUUCUCUUUAUUUUUAAUCGUAGAAUUGAUUAUUGCUUUAAAGUUUCUCUUAAUUCUUUAAUGACGGUUUUGAAAUCAAAUUAACCUCAUUUUGUUUUCUUUUAUUUAUUUUGUAGUCAUAAUCAUUUUCAAUUUCAGUUAAUUUGGCAAAUUUUGCAUCCUGACAAGUGCGACAUUAUGGUUGUAUGCAAAUAUAUAUUUUUUUUAAAAAAUAUGAUUAGAUUAUUAAUUAGAUCAAUUUCUUUAGGCUGACAGUAUGAAAAGAAACGGAAAAACAAAUGGGUUUUAGUGAUAUCGAGUACAAGCGGUGGAUGCCAACUGUUUUUUAUAAUGGUAUAAUAGAAUAAGCUUGUUUAAUAUUAAGGUUGAACAGUUGUAAUUUAAAAAGUAAAGUAUACAAAGUGUUUGGUAAAUAUUAGUUGUUGUGACUUAGAAGAUAAAUUGAUUUAAUCUAAUAGUUAUGUGAUGAAAAACUCAUAAUAUAUUUAUUAUUUUUAUUAAAAUUAUUAUUUAAAGUCUUAUUUAUUAUAUAUUAUUAAUUUUUAUUUUAUAGUUACAAAUUUUUUCCACAACAGUUAUGACUUAAAAACUGUAACACUUAAAUACCUAAUAGAAUCUUAGGUGGCGUUUGUUUUUUAACUUAAUGACUUAAAGUGACUUAACUUAAUUAAUUAAGUUAAUUAGAGGUGUUUGUUUUUAUAACUUAAUGAGACUUUUUAGAUAAUUUUGACUUAAUAAAAUAAGCUAAUUUUUUUCGCCUUGGCCGUACAGCAGNNNNNNNNNNNNNNNNNNNNNNNNNNNNNNNNNNNNNNNNNNNNNNNNNUAUUUAAUAUAUUAUUUAUUUGACAUUCAAAUUUAAUAAGGAUACAAAUGUAAAAGUAUAUAUUUUCAGCUUUUUAAGUUGAAAAAAGCAAACAACUUAAUACUUAUUUUUUGAGAUUCAGACGAAAAAACAAACAUAUUAUUCAGAUUCAGACAUUCAGACCUAUUCAGAAUUCAGACUAAUUCAGGUCUAUUCAGAUUUCAGACAAAAAAAUAAACGACACCUUAGUCUCACUUUUCAAAUUCUGUAGUAUUUACUCCAACAAAUGAAUUGAGAUUUGGGUAUGAUCUGGUCAAGAUAUUGCUUGCCUCCAUCUGUGGACCCUCGUAUUUCGAAUCACAUGCCCCAUAUCAUUGAUAUGAUCAAGAAGGUAUUCCUACCGAUGAUGAUUGAAUUUUAGCUAUUACAGUUAAUAGAAAAUUAUUUUAUCUUGCAUUUUUCACAUUUGUCCAACUUUACAAUUUACAAUUAGUAAUAGAGCUGGAGCAUUAUUUGCUGGAAACAAAGGUUUUGAUGAGCCUUUACCACUCAUUACGAUACAAAAUUAAUCGGUGAGAAUCAGAAAGAGCACAGGGCUAGAUUACUUUUUUUUUUUAAUAUCCUUGCAUCUAUUCAAAAAUUUAUUCUUAUCAUCUCUUUUAUGUGAUCUUCUUAUUCUUUCUUAUUAGGCAUAUAUUCUUAGCAGAGAAUCUGUAGAGUUCUUAGGCACUAUACUGAAUUGAUUCGAAGUAUGCAUUAAGUCAGAUUUUUGUUCUUAUCUCAUUGAAUUCAUGACUCUUGGGAAUAAUAUGUUCUUUUGGCCUUUGAAAUCUACUGGGAAUAUAGUUAACAUAAUAUCUUGUAAGUGUACUUGUCAAUUGAAUUUUCUGUUGAUUUGGUUAGAUUAUACAAUUUUUGGAUUUCCUCCUAUAUCCACGUUCUUUUCUUGUUUCUAUUACUUGUUAAUUUUGUUAUUAGUUCUUCCUUUGUUGGUGAAAUAUGGAAUUAAAUAUACUCAUUUGCUCUAACACUUGGAUUUGAGGGGCAUGGUCGCUAAUUAAGGAACACUUGUUUACAUUAUUUGCGCUACAAAAUUGCUAGUCAAGAAACAAAGGUAGUUAUCAUUAAGUGUACUGCAACAAAUGAUGCCCAUUUUCCCAGUUUGCUAAUUAAAUAGCCUACAUUCAUUGUGAUUGGAGUUUCUUAUCUCAAGGGAAGCAAUUCCUUUUGUAAAUGUUGUUACCACGAAGAAUAUUUUUAAUAAAUUACUUACUUUAUCC